This 156-nucleotide ribosomal RNA is filed under the name Caryophyllaceae sp. BOP010511. RNAcentral describes it as "5.8S ribosomal RNA". It matches the Rfam family "5.8S ribosomal RNA". From Rfam's summary of the family: 5.8S ribosomal RNA (5.8S rRNA) is a component of the large subunit of the eukaryotic ribosome. It is transcribed by RNA polymerase I as part of the 45S precursor that also contains 18S and 28S rRNA. Functionally, it is thought that 5.8S rRNA may be involved in ribosome translocation. Lineage: Eukaryota; Viridiplantae; Streptophyta; Magnoliopsida; Caryophyllales; Caryophyllaceae. The record is from RNAcentral.
AACGACUCUCGGCAACGGAUAUCUCGGCUCUCGCAUCGAUGAAGAACGUAGCGAAAUGCGAUACUUGGUGUGAAUUGCAGAAUCCCGUGAACCAUCGAGUCUUUGAACGCAAGUUGCGCCCGAGGCCUUUGGUCGAGGGCACGUCUGCCUGGGCGU